This 160-nucleotide ribosomal RNA is filed under the name uncultured bacterium. RNAcentral describes it as "partial 16S ribosomal RNA". It matches the Rfam family "Bacterial small subunit ribosomal RNA", at positions 355 to 507 of the family's 1533-position model. The record is from RNAcentral.
UAGGGAAUCUUCCGCAAUGGACGAAAGUCUGACGGAGCAACGCCGCGUGAGUGAUGAAGGCUUUCGGGUCGUAAAACUCUGUUGUUAGGGAAGAACAAGUACGAGAGUAACUGCUCGUACCUUGACGGUACCUAACCAGAAAGCCACGGCUAGCUACGUG